CAUGUCCAAUGCGGGUGUAAUCGACCUGCAGACGGUCUAGUAUACUGUCAGGUUUGAUGGUGAGCAGACGUGCCAGCCCCUCUCUUCAGUGCAUCCCUAUUUUCUGAGGAACCACUAGGGUCAAGGACGACCCACAUCUUAGUAGAAAGUCAUGGCUUCUAGGGCACGCAGAGGUCUGAGUACGGCCGAAAUCAAUGAAGUCAUUGCUCAAUAUGAAAGCGAUGAUUUUGAUGGCAGUUACGUUUCAUUUGGCUGACACGUAGCAGGGACAUCUUCCUGCCAUUGGCCACAUCAAGCUGCGCAAGCGUGUUCGCUGCCGAAGUUGCCCAUCUAGAGACGACCACAAGACGAACACAGCAUGUUUGCGAUGCAAACGGGCCUGUGUUCCUACAGCAUCAAACUGUCUUGUGUCCGAAGUGUGUGCCUCGUACGUAGGUAGCAAAUUUGGCCGUCGCACUUGUCUUGGGUGGGGGCCCAUUUACUGUAUAUAUCAAUUAGAUUUUGACCUCUAUGGGUCCGACACCUUUUCUGGCUGUGGAGACUUGUAAAUUGUAGUUUUAGGAAGGAUUCCCUCAAUUUAUUUUCUUAUAUAGGUU
Molecule: long non-coding RNA, 596 nt
Organism: Macrobrachium nipponense
Lineage: Eukaryota; Metazoa; Arthropoda; Malacostraca; Decapoda; Palaemonidae
Exons: 4
Source: RefSeq, a predicted model, not a curated record